ACAGAGAGAGAGAGAGAGAGACUAAAACACAUGUUGUGUAUGUUCCGGUUGGGUUGAGACGGAUGUGGACCUGAUCCUCAGACCCCAACCUCAAUCAAGAGGGGCUAAAGUGGGAACGGACGCAGACCGCUGGGGAGAGGAUGCAUUACAUUGCGCUACACCAGGGAGGGGUGGUGUGGUGUCAUGUCGGGGAACAGACGUCUGGAGGCGUCAGCGGCCACCUACGUGCAGGCCGGAGAUCGCUGGAUCACCACGACAAGGACGUUUCACCAGCGCGUACCUCAGGCAACCGUUGCGCCUGACUCGUUCAUUUGUGUGUUACAAAUUCCUUAAUUAUGUGUUGCCUUGUCUCUUAUGUGCCUACUACUUUGAACUAACAUUAAUAAACAAUUGAAAA
Molecule: non-coding RNA, 397 nt
Organism: Electrophorus electricus (electric eel)
Lineage: Eukaryota; Metazoa; Chordata; Actinopteri; Gymnotiformes; Gymnotidae
Source: RefSeq, a predicted model, not a curated record